UUUGGUGUUGUUGCAAGUAGAUAGAGAAUGAUUAGGCAGCCAACUCCCGGGUCGGUAUGUGUAUCCUUGUUUGGAUUUUGAGCGGUGGAAAAUGGGUUCGGAGAAUUAUCAGCGUAUUUAGUAGCGUUAGCGUUUUCUUGUAUUCCAAUUGAGAAAUUGGAUACACCGAGAUUGCAAUUUGGAAAAUGCAGAUCUAAUUUUGGGGUUCAGAGGAAAUAUAUUAUUGUGUCUAUAUGAUGCUUGGGGCAGGAGAUCAGUGGUUGUGGCAGGAUCUUGUGAUGUUCUGUUGGGGUAUUCUGAGAUAUCCGGGUAUGAUAUCUUUAUUUCGGAGUUACUCUUGAAUCUUGAAUUAAAUCGACUUGUGGUAUAUCAAGUAUCUAUGGAUCUAGUGGGAGCCCUUCGAGUAUGGGCAUCCAGGGAGAUUAUUUGAGAGAGUGGAUUUUCGCAAGGGUGGGCAUUUGUUAUGUUGAUUGCCUCCAGAGUCUGUGAUGGAUAUUCGAGUCGUAUNAGAGGAAAUGUAUUAUUGUGUCUAUAUGAUGCUUGGGGCAGGAGAUCAGUGGUUGUGGCAGGAUCUUGUGAUGUUCUGUUGGGGUAUUCCGAGAUAUCUGGGUAUGAUAUCUUUAUUUCGGAGUUACUCGUGAAUCUUGAAUUGAAUCGACUUGUGGUAUAUCAGGUAUCUAUGGAUCUAGUGGGAGCCCUUCGAGUAUGGGCAUCCAGGGAGAUUAUUUGAGAGAGUGGAUUUUCGCAAGGGUGGGCAUUUGUUAUGUUGAUUGCCUCCAGAGUCUGUGAUGGAUAUUCGAGUCGAGUAUGGGUAGCCACUGAUGAUAGACUGCGGAGCACGAGCUAGUGGAGUCAGAGGGUGUUGUGAUACUGCGGGGAGCCGUAGUACUCACUAGUCAGAGGGUGUUGUGAUACUGCGGGGAGCCGUAGUACUCACUAGUCAGAGGGUGUUGUGAUACUGCGGGGAGCCGUAGUACUCACUAGUCAGAGGGUGUUGUGAUACUGCGGGGAGCCGUAGUACUCACUAUUCAGAGGGUGUUGUGAUACUGCGUGGAGUCGCAGUACUCACUAGAUGGCAAGAGAAUGUGAUGUUGGAAUGUUUUCCGAGCAGUUUAUGAUAUGGAAGAGUUUUGGGUUUGAGUAGCCCUAGUAUUGAGUCUUUGGAGCCUGGAUGUUGAAUCGGGGGCGAGACGGGGGUCUCCGUCUCUGUCGGGAGAUGCGGUGAGAUGCGCAAGGGAUAUGCGCAGCAGAAACCGGAGAUCAGAGCUGAGACGAUCCUCGAUUGGAUCGUAUUCUUCUCGCAUGAGGAAAAGAGGAUUUCGUGACUUGCGUGUCACUGGGCA
RNAcentral lists this long non-coding RNA (1343 nucleotides) under Lactuca sativa (garden lettuce). RNAcentral describes it as "long non-coding RNA (LSAT_LNC010057)". The record is from RNAcentral. Lineage: Eukaryota; Viridiplantae; Streptophyta; Magnoliopsida; Asterales; Asteraceae.